This 1096-nucleotide ribosomal RNA is filed under the name Pezizomycotina sp. CMCA22. Its description in RNAcentral is "SSU rRNA". It matches the Rfam family "Eukaryotic small subunit ribosomal RNA", at positions 47 to 1152 of the family's 1831-position model. Lineage: Eukaryota; Fungi; Ascomycota. The record is from RNAcentral.
AGCCAUGCAUGUCUAAGUAUAAGCAACUAUACGGUGAAACUGCGAAUGGCUCAUUAAAUCAGUUAUCGUUUAUUUGAUAGUACCUUACUACAUGGAUAACCGUGGUAAUUCUAGAGCUAAUACAUGCUAAAAACCUCGACUUCGGAAGGGGUGUAUUUAUUAGAUAAAAAACCAAUGCCCUUCGGGGCUCCUUGGUGAAUCAUAAUAACUUAACGAAUCGCAUGGCCUUGCGCCGGCGAUGGUUCAUUCAAAUUUCUGCCCUAUCAACUUUCGAUGGUAGGAUAGUGGCCUACCAUGGUAUCAACGGGUAACGGGGAAUUAGGGUUCGACUCCGGAGAGGGAGCCUGAGAAACGGCUACCACAUCCAAGGAAGGCAGCAGGCGCGCAAAUUACCCAAUCCCGACACGGGGAGGUAGUGACAAUAAAUACUGAUACAGGGCUCUUUUGGGUCUUGUAAUUGGAAUGAGUACAAUUUAAAUCCCUUAACGAGGAACAAUUGGAGGGCAAGUCUGGUGCCAGCAGCCGCGGUAAUUCCAGCUCCAAUAGCGUAUAUUAAAGUUGUUGCAGUUAAAAAGCUCGUAGUUGAACCUUGGGCCUGGCUGGCCGGUCCGCCUCACCGCGUGUACUGGUCCGGCCGGGCCUUUCCUUCUGGGGAACCUCAUGCCCUUCACUGGGCGUGUUGGGGAACCAGGACUUUUACUUUGAAAAAAUUAGAGUGUUCAAAGCAGGCCUUUGCUCGAAUACAUUAGCAUGGAAUAAUAGAAUAGGACGUGUGGUUCUAUUUUGUUGGUUUCUAGGACCGCCGUAAUGAUUAAUAGGGAUAGUCGGGGGCAUCAGUAUUCAAUCGUCAGAGGUGAAAUUCUUGGAUUGAUUGAAGACUAACUACUGCGAAAGCAUUUGCCAAGGAUGUUUUCAUUAAUCAGUGAACGAAAGUUAGGGGAUCGAAGACGAUCAGAUACCGUCGUAGUCUUAACCAUAAACUAUGCCGACUAGGGAUCGGACGGUGUUAGUAUUUUGACCCGUUCGGCACCUUACGAGAAAUCAAAGUUUUUGGGUUCUGGGGGGAGUAUGGUCGCAAGGCUGAAACUUAAAGAAA